Molecule: ribosomal RNA, 667 nt
Filed under: uncultured Staphylococcus sp.
Lineage: Bacteria; Bacillati; Bacillota; Bacilli; Caryophanales; Staphylococcaceae
Description: bacterial SSU rRNA
Rfam family: Bacterial small subunit ribosomal RNA
Source: RNAcentral
UUCUCUGAUGUUAGCGGCGGACGGGUGAGUAACACGUGGAUAACCUACCUAUAAGACUGGGAUAACUUCGGGAAACCGGAGCUAAUACCGGAUAGUAUUUUGAACCGCAUGGUUCAAAAGUGAAAGACGGUCUUGCUGUCACUUAUAGAUGGAUCCGCGCUGCAUUAGCUAGUUGGUAAGGUAACGGCUUACCAAGGCAACGAUGCAUAGCCGACCUGAGAGGGUGAUCGGCCACACUGGAACUGAGACACGGUCCAGACUCCUACGGGAGGCAGCAGUAGGGAAUCUUCCGCAAUGGGCGAAAGCCUGACGGAGCAACGCCGCGUGAGUGAUGAAGGUCUUCGGAUCGUAAAACUCUGUUAUUAGGGAAGAACAUAUGUGUAAGUAACUGUGCACAUCUUGACGGCACCUAACCAGAAAGCCACGGCUAACUACGUGCCAGCAGCCGCGGUAAUACGUAGGUGGCAAGCGUUAUCCGGAAUUAUUGGGCGUAAAGCGCGCGUAGGCGGUUUUUUAAGUCUGAUGUGAAAGCCCACGGCUCAACCGUGGAGGGUCAUUGGAAACUGGAAAACUUGAGUGCAGAAGAGGAAAGUGGAAUUCCAUGUGUAGCGGUGAAAUGCGCAGAGAUAUGGAGGAACACCAGUGGCGAAGGCGACUUUCUGGUCUG